AACGGUCUAUACCUGCGGUACCUGCGGAAGGAUCAUUACCGAGUUAUCAACUCCCAAACCCCUGUGAACAUACCCGAACGUUGCCUCGGCGGGACCGCCCCGGCGCCCCUAGCGGCCCGGAACCAGGCGCCCGCCGGAGGACCCAAACUCUUGCUUUAAACAGUGGCAUACUCUCUGAGUCUCACAAACGAAAAAUAAAUCAAAACUUUCAGCAAUGGAUCUCUAGAUCGGAAGAGCACA
This 240-nucleotide unclassified non-coding RNA is filed under the name soil metagenome. Its description in RNAcentral is "partial contains 5.8S ribosomal RNA, internal transcribed spacer 2, and large subunit ribosomal RNA". The record is from RNAcentral.